CAAGUAGACCGGGUGACCGCCCGCCUCGGGCGGGAGGAAAGUCCGAGCUCCACCGGGCAGAAGGCUGGGUAACGCCCAGGCCCCGAUAAUGUAAAUUGUCGGGGACGGAAAGUGCCACAGAAACAUACCGCUCCGAUUUAUCGGAGUAAGGGUGAAAUGGCGAGGUAAGAGCUCACCAGCAACUGGGAGACCAGUUGGCUGGGCAAACCCCCUUCGGAGCAAGACCGAAUAGGAGGACAUAAGGACGCCCGGCCAGUUUUCUCGGGUUGGUCGCUUGACCCCGAUGGUAACAUCGGGGCUAGAUAGAUGGUCACCGCUCCGACUGGGUCGGAGUACAGAACUCGGCUUAUAGGUUUACUUGGCCC
RNAcentral lists this RNase P RNA (365 nucleotides) under Dehalococcoidia bacterium. RNAcentral describes it as "RNase P RNA component class A". It matches the Rfam family "Bacterial RNase P class A". From Rfam's summary of the family: Ribonuclease P (RNase P) is a ubiquitous endoribonuclease, found in archaea, bacteria and eukarya as well as chloroplasts and mitochondria. Its best characterised activity is the generation of mature 5'-ends of tRNAs by cleaving the 5'-leader elements of precursor-tRNAs. Lineage: Bacteria; Bacillati; Chloroflexota; Dehalococcoidia. The record is from RNAcentral.